CUGAAUGUUGACCUCGGAUCAGGUAGGAAUACCCGCUGAACUUAAGCAUAUCAAACAGGGGAAAAGGAAA
RNAcentral lists this ribosomal RNA (70 nucleotides) under Fusarium oxysporum. RNAcentral describes it as "partial 28S ribosomal RNA". Lineage: Eukaryota; Fungi; Ascomycota; Sordariomycetes; Hypocreales; Nectriaceae. The record is from RNAcentral.